This 31-nucleotide non-coding RNA is filed under the name Homo sapiens (human). The record is from RNAcentral. Lineage: Eukaryota; Metazoa; Chordata; Mammalia; Primates; Hominidae.
UGGGAGUCAUGUGUCUGCCCAGGUGAAAAGU